This 79-nucleotide microRNA precursor is filed under the name Aotus nancymaae (Ma's night monkey). RNAcentral describes it as "microRNA 484 (ENSANAG00000010055.1)". The stretch from base 5 to 71 matches the Rfam family "mir-484 microRNA precursor family". The record is from RNAcentral. Lineage: Eukaryota; Metazoa; Chordata; Mammalia; Primates; Aotidae.
AGCCUCGUCAGGCUCAGUCCCCUCCCGAUAAACCUCUAAAUAGGGACUUUCCCGGGGGGUGACCCUGGCUUUUUUGGCG